AUGUCGUUUGUCUGCCCGCCUGAUUAAUCUUUUUUUUUUUUAAGGAAAAAUCUAAUUGGCUAAUGGCUAUUUGCUAUGCAAGAGUCGAGAUGACAUAUAUGACAAGUGGAUUGGCAGGUGGCUGGUUGUUGGCUGCAAAAGAGAGACAGAAAGGAAGAAGAAAAUGGGGGAUCUAUGCGCCUUGGACUUUGAUGGGGUUCUCAGUGACAGCUGUGGCGAAAGCUCUGUUUCUGCCGUCAAGGUCUGUUUCUGGGUUAGUAUGUAGUGACUGAGUGGUAUUGGGAAAACUACACUUUUUCUUUUGGGUUCUUUAUCUGUAUUUUGCUUACAGUAAUGAGAAGCUUUUUACUUCUUUUCCACCCUUCCUUUGGUUAUUGUUUUCACUUUUCAGUCCCAAGGUGGAAGUUCUGAAGUAACUUCAACAGAAACCAGAAUGCCAGGGGCUGACAUUGCAGUAAGCCCCCAUUGAUCCUUGCUUUUUGGCUGUUAAAAAAUUUGUUUUGUGGAAGAUCGACUUGCAACCCUAAAGAAUGUCAUAAAAGAGCCUGAAUUGGAUGGAUGGAACUUGUGGGAUUGGGGUUACAACACCGAGAAAGAGAGAGAAGCAGCUAGAAUUCCCCGGAUUCACCUUCUACAGCUCUCUGACUUUGUCAAGAAGCUGAAAUAGUUUUUCGGUUUGCCAUACAAGUCAGAUUAGCUGAUUCAUUUCACAGUACCGUCAUUUAUGUUUACAUUUGCUGGAGUUUGGGCAACAAAGAUCAAACCAAGAAAUUUUA
Hevea brasiliensis (rubber tree) is the source of this 776-nucleotide long non-coding RNA. RefSeq lists it as uncharacterized. NCBI's taxonomy places the organism in Eukaryota, Viridiplantae, Streptophyta, Magnoliopsida, Malpighiales, Euphorbiaceae. The record is from RefSeq and is a predicted model, not a curated record. The transcript has 3 exons.